UUCCUUCUCCAGGAGCGUAUAUUAAAGUUGAUGCAGUUAAAAAGCUCGUAGUCUGAGGUUUGCGGGUGCUGGGGUGGUGUGCGUGAGCGCAGUGUCCUGGUGCGUGCAUUUCUGGGGCUGGGUGACUGGUGCCCUUGAUUGGGUGCUUGGUGCCUGCCCUGCCUUUACUUUGAAAAAAUUAGAGUGUUCAAAGCAAGCGUGUUGCAUGAAUAGUUCAGCAUGGAAUAAUGGAAUAGGACCUUGGUCUUGUUUCGUUGGUUUCCAGGGCCGAGGUAAUGAUGAAUAGGGACAGUUGGGGGCAUUCGUAUUUAGUUGUCAGAGGUGAAAUUCUUGGAUUUACUACAGACGAACAUCUGCGAAAGCAUCUGCCAAGGAUGUUUUCAUUA
RNAcentral lists this ribosomal RNA (386 nucleotides) under Choanoflagellata sp. Its description in RNAcentral is "partial small subunit ribosomal RNA". It matches the Rfam family "Eukaryotic small subunit ribosomal RNA", at positions 583 to 975 of the family's 1831-position model. The record is from RNAcentral. Lineage: Eukaryota; Choanoflagellata.